This 369-nucleotide long non-coding RNA is filed under the name Mus spicilegus (steppe mouse). RNAcentral's name for it is "lncRNA (ENSMSIG00000016449.1)". Lineage: Eukaryota; Metazoa; Chordata; Mammalia; Rodentia; Muridae. The record is from RNAcentral.
UGGAGGGACAUCAGACAGAGCUACAACCAGUGAGGGACAAAAGUGAGGCAGCUGCUGAAGAGGCUGAAUUGGUUUGAUCCAGAGAGGCAGUUAUGCAUAAGAGCAACCACUCUCUAUUGAAUUAGGAGAUCUCUCAUGCAACACAUCUCACCAAUUACAAGUCUCUGCAGGGAAGUGUCAGCUUUACUUGCUACACCAAGGACAGUUGGGCAAGAUCAACAUCAGACAUGGACAUUCUGUGCCACUGAGAGAUCUCAUUAUUAUGCCUUUCCUGGGAAUCCCUUGCCCUCAUCCCACCUCAGCCACUAAUAAAACCUUAACUUUAUCUUUUAGUGAAAUCGAGGACCAUUAAUUAACCCAGGAGCAGAG